GCUGAACGCGUGUUUACACCCAUAGAGCGGGCCAGAACAGGGUUUCUAAGUCAAUUGCAAGAUCUGAAACUGGGGAGUUUCAAGAAUGUCCAUGUUCAGAAGUCUUUGCAAGUAUCUACAUGAAAUCCUAGGACUGAAUUUCAUAUCCCAAAGGAUCAAGAUCCUGGUCCAAAAGCAUCAGAGAAGAUUCCCUCAGCUUCUGUAGAAGCUUCCGGAGUUCUUCUUUUGAAAAUACCUAAGAAAAAUAAAAUUAAAAAUAAUGAAGUUAUAUUUAUUUGCAAUGAACAGCACUGAUAUCAAACCCCCAUCCAAAAAUUAGUAACUGCACUACUUGGAAGAACUGCUUGUCAGAAGACUGGCAUCAUCUUCAGGGUUUCAAAGUUAACUCUCUGAUUCCUUAAGUCAGCAUACAAGGAAGCCCUUUAUUACUGCAGUGAAUGGCAAGAGAUAAAGAAACUUAUGAUGUUAAGGAACAUAUGGCGUCUUCCUCUCUAUAUAGAAGCUUCUUCCACAGUCAACCCACAGAGCUUUUAAAUGGAAGCUAAGCUGCCUGC
Long non-coding RNA from Haliaeetus leucocephalus (bald eagle), 554 nucleotides. RefSeq lists it as uncharacterized. The record is from RefSeq and is a predicted model, not a curated record. NCBI's taxonomy places the organism in Eukaryota, Metazoa, Chordata, Aves, Accipitriformes, Accipitridae. The transcript has 3 exons.